GAUCAUGGCUCAGGACGAACGCUGGCGGCGUGCCUAAUACAUGCAAGUAGAACGCUGAAGGAGGAGCUUGCUUCUCUGGAUGAGUUGCGAACGGGUGAGUAACGCGUAGGUAACCUGCCUGGUAGCGGGGGAUAACUAUUGGAAACGAUAGCUAAUACCGCAUAAUAGCAGUUGUUGCAUGACAACUUGUUAGAAAGGUGACAAAUGCAUCACUACCAGAGUCGG
RNAcentral lists this ribosomal RNA (225 nucleotides) under uncultured bacterium. Its description in RNAcentral is "partial 16S ribosomal RNA". It matches the Rfam family "Bacterial small subunit ribosomal RNA", at positions 15 to 228 of the family's 1533-position model. The record is from RNAcentral.